AACGAACGCUGGCGGCAGGCCUAACACAUGCAAGUCGAGCGAGCAUUUCGGUGCUAGCGGCGGACGGGUGAGUAACGCGUGGGAACGUGCCCUUUUCUGCGGAAUAGUCCUGGGAAACUGGGGGUAAUAUCGCAUACGCCCUGUUGGGGAAAGAUUUAUCGGAGAAGGAUCGGCCCGCGUUGGUUGAGGUAGUUGGUGGGGUAAUGGCCCACCAAGCCGACGAUCCAUAGCUGGGUUGAGAGGAUGAUCAGCCACACUGGGACUGAGACACGGCCCAGACUCCUACGGGAGGCAGCAGUGGGGAAUCUUAGACAAUGGGGGCAACGCUGAUCUAGCCAUGCCGCGUGAGUGAUGAAGUCCUUAGGGUUGUAAAGCUCUUUCAGCUGGGAAGAUAAUGACGGUACCAGCAGAAGAAGCCCCGGCUAACUCCGUG
Molecule: ribosomal RNA, 433 nt
Filed under: uncultured bacterium
Lineage: Bacteria
Description: partial 16S ribosomal RNA
Rfam family: Bacterial small subunit ribosomal RNA
Source: RNAcentral